Gasterosteus aculeatus aculeatus (three-spined stickleback) is the source of this 2268-nucleotide long non-coding RNA. The record is from Ensembl. Lineage: Eukaryota; Metazoa; Chordata; Actinopteri; Perciformes; Gasterosteidae.
GGCGAGGGGUGGGGGGGGGCGUUUACUCUGAAAGCUGAGCCUCGGUGCAACAUGUGAGACGACAGAUAUCGCGAGGCAAAUAAAAGACGUCAAUCCGUUCUCUCGAGGAGCGGCGCUUUCUUCUGAGGGGUCCGGCGCUCGCCCAGCAGGAGGGGGGGGGCAGGUGUGACCCGACACACACAAAGAAUAAAUAAUAAAGCUCCGAAGGCUUUUCAACAUUUCUGAAUUGAUUUUCUUUAAGAUGCAGGACAUUCUCAAACCGAGCGGAACAAUCUUUGUCUCUCAGAGAGAAUUAAAUCUCAGAAAAAAUCUCAGUAACACUUCAGACAACAACGUCUCACACACACACACACACACACACACACACAUCACAGUGGUUGAGGAUUAAUAGGUGAUUGAUUGUGGAAAUGAUUAAAAUGUUCACUAAUAUGGAGACUAAUUAGAGAAUAUUAAGUGAAUUUAUUAGGAGGAAAUAGAGCAGCACGUCCCGCUCAUGUGACCUCCUCCCUUUCAGACAUAAACAUAAACAUUAAGGCACCGCACACACAAAACAAAAUAAAAUGCUCCCUUUUCCACGUUAUUUGUUGCAGUUUUUUAUCCAACCGCAGUAAUGAUGUCGAUAAAUAAAUCAGACACUUUAGUGCUAAAUGUGGUCUUGAAAAUGAAAAAAACACAAUCCAUUCUGUUUGAGCGUUAAGGACGGCUCAUUUCACCAAACACUCGUUUCCUAGGCUCCUCUCUCCUCACCUCGCUUCCUGACGUCUCGGUGGAGGAUCUGAGGGGAAGAGAAGUUUUUCAUUUCAGACAAAGGAGACACACACAGACUGGAACGUUUGCUGAACUAAACCUGCAACACACACACACACACACACACUGUAUUCCAUUCAGUGUGUGUGUGUGUGUGUGUGCGGCCUCUCGGCUACGGACUGAACCCCCUUUGUUCGGCCGUGACCCUCUUAAGCGCAGGUUGAAGCCUGCAGCCAUUCCACUUUGGAUUUGGACCCUAUCGCGUGUCGCGCGGCUGAGUCGACCCGGGCCGCGGGCCUCUUCUCCCUCCUCCCCGGGCGCCUCCGUUCACGCCGCCGAGCGCCCGUGAACGGAGGCGCCGCGACUACAGUUCGCUGCCGAAUUACCAGCUGCCAGCGGAGGAACAAAACAAACCACCGCGUCGUGUGAUGAAACAUUAGCGCGGCGGCUAACACGUGAUGUUAGCAUUAAGUACAUGUACAUACAUAUAUAUAGAGAGAGAGAUUUAAUAAUCACUUUAAUUUUAACUUCAUUUCCACUAUUUUGUAUGCUUUAAUAGGCCUGUUGUUUACAUAUAUCCAAAUAUAUAUUUUUUAAUUUGCAUUGUAUGUUAUUGAUACAGUUUUUUUAAGCACAGUAAUUAGGUUUGAGAAUGACACUCAAAUAGAAAUCAGUUUUCCUAAAUAACGAAACGAAUCAUAUAAGUUUAGAAAAAGACACUUUUGACUCCACUCCAGAUGUCAUGAAUAUGCAGAUGAGGCACUCGGGUGUCAAGAUGACGCCACGAGGUGCAACGCCAUCCUCCGUUUUACUUCAUUUGCGCUGGAAAACGAGUGAACUCCCCUCACCUCGUCGACGGAUCUCUUUCUAAAGAGCUGGAGUAUCAAAGACCUGUUGAGAUGAGUUUAUUUUGGGAGUCGCCUUCAUUUUCGCUGUCAGCCUGUUGCUGCCGGAACAACAGCGUCUGACACGAACAAAGUGCGACGCGUCUCUGUCAGUUUCAAGUGGCUCUCUGUUGGUUUCAUCAGCUUAAUCAGGUCCAACUGUGACUGAGAUUGACAGGUCACGUGUGAAACGCGGAUGUGUGUCACAAAGCGGCGCUUUUUCAACCUUCCCUUAUUAAUCCUGCGAAGAAAAGAAUAUUCCCUGGUGCUUUUGUCAUUGCCUUGAUUUCCCUCAUUCAGCCCUCCGCACUCACACCAAGGAGCCACGAAGGAAACAAACACAAUCCUACUCAUCCACACUGCUGUGAAUGCAAAGCUUUAGCUUCAGCUAACUUUGGGAUUUGAGUCUAUUUGUGAACGUAUUAGUUGUGCUAAUUGUGUUAAUGGCUAAUUAAGUGUUAUUCUGUUGUGCUUCUGUCCCAUGAUGCUCCUAAAUGAAACCUUUCCUGACAGGAACAUUUAAUUCAAACGUGGACGCCGCGGUCAGAAGGAUGAUGGUAAUAACUGAUACGAGUAAAGCGGCGUGGAGUGAGAACACAUGUUCUAGUGAGCUUCUCGUGUUAAACCCUCAGGCUUC